AACAGGAUUAGAUACCCUGGUAGUCCACGCCGUAAACGAUGUCGACUUGGAGGUUGUGCCCUUGAGGCGUGGCUUCCGGAGCUAACGCGUUAAGUCGACCGCCUGGGGAGUACGGCCGCAAGGUUAAAACUCAAAUGAAUUGACGGGGGCCCGCACAAGCGGUGGAGCAUGUGGUUUAAUUCGAUGCAACGCGAAGAACCUUACCUACUCUUGACAUCCAGAGAAUUUGCUAGAGAUAGCUUAGUGCCUUCGGGAACUCUGAGACAGGUGCUGCAUGGCUGUCGUCAGCUCGUGUUGUGAAAUGUUGGGUUAAGUCCCGCAACGAGCGCAACCCUUAUCCUUUGUUGCCAGCACGUAAUGGUGGGAACUCAAAGGAGACUGCCGGUGAUAAACCGGAGGAAGGUGGGGAUGACGUCAAGUCAUCAUGGCCCUUACGAGUAGGGCUACACACGUGCUACAAUGGCAUAUACAAAGAGAAGCGAACUCGCGAGAGCAAGCGGACCUCAUAAAGUAUGUCGUAGUCCGGAUUGGAGUCUGCAACUCGACUCCAUGAAGUCGGAAUCGCUAGUAAUCGUAGAUCAGAAUGCUACGGUGAAUACGUUCCCGGGCCUUGUACACACCGCCCGUCACACCAUGGGAGUGGGUUGCAAAAGAAGUAGGUAGCUUAACCUUCGGGAGGGCGCUUACCACUUUGUGAUUCAUGACUGGGGUGAAGUCGUAACAAGGUAACC
Molecule: ribosomal RNA, 731 nt
Filed under: uncultured bacterium
Lineage: Bacteria
Description: bacterial SSU rRNA
Rfam family: Bacterial small subunit ribosomal RNA
Source: RNAcentral